Molecule: ribosomal RNA, 565 nt
Filed under: Limosilactobacillus vaginalis
Lineage: Bacteria; Bacillati; Bacillota; Bacilli; Lactobacillales; Lactobacillaceae
Description: bacterial SSU rRNA
Rfam family: Bacterial small subunit ribosomal RNA
Source: RNAcentral
UGAGUGAAGAAGGGUUUCGGCUCGUAAAGCUCUGUUGUUGGAGAAGAACGUGCGUGAGAGUAACUGUUCACGCAGUGACGGUAUCCAACCAGAAAGUCACGGCUAACUACGUGCCAGCAGCCGCGGUAAUACGUAGGUGGCAAGCGUUAUCUGGAUUUAUUGGGCGUAAAGCGAGCGCAGGCGGUUGCUUAGGUCUGAUGUGAAAGCCUUCGGCUUAACCGAAGAAGGGCAUCGGAAACCGGGCGACUUGAGUGCAGAAGAGGACAGUGGAACUCCAUGUGUAGCGGUGGAAUGCGUAGAUAUAUGGAAGAACACCAGUGGCGAAGGCGGCUGUCUGGUCUGCAACUGACGCUGAGGCUCGAAAGCAUGGGUAGCGAACAGGAUUAGAUACCCUGGUAGUCCAUGCCGUAAACGAUGAGUGCUAGGUGUUGGGGGUUUCCGCCCUUCAGUGCCGGAGCUAACGCAUUAAGCACUCCGCCUGGGGAGUACGACCGCAAGGUUGAAACUCAAAGGAAUUGACGGGGGCCCGCACAAGCGGUGGAGCAUGUGGUUUAAUUCGAAGCUC